Molecule: ribosomal RNA, 457 nt
Filed under: Streptococcus mutans
Lineage: Bacteria; Bacillati; Bacillota; Bacilli; Lactobacillales; Streptococcaceae
Description: bacterial SSU rRNA
Rfam family: Bacterial small subunit ribosomal RNA
Source: RNAcentral
GACGAACGCUGGCGGCGUGCCUAAUACAUGCAAGUGGGACGCAAGGGAACACACUGUGCUUGCACACCGUGUUUUCUUGAGUCGCGAACGGGUGAGUAACGCGUAGGUAACCUGCCUAUUAGCGGGGGAUAACUAUUGGAAACGAUAGCUAAUGCCGCAUAAUAUUAAUUAUUGCAUGAUAAUUGAUUGAAAGAUGCAAGCGCAUCACUAGUAGAUGGACCUGCGUUGUAUUAGCUAGUUGGUAAGGUAAGAGCUUACCAAGGCGACGAUACAUAGCCGACCUGAGAGGGUGAUCGGCCACACUGGGACUGAGACACGGCCCAGACUCCUACGGGGGGCAGCAGUAGGGAAUCUUCGGCAAUGGACGAAAGUCUGACCGAGCAACGCCGCGUGAGUGAAGAAGGUUUUCGGAUCGUAAAGCUCUGUUGUAAGUCAAGAACGUGUGUGAGAGUGGAAA